RNAcentral lists this ribosomal RNA (433 nucleotides) under Carinifex ponsonbyi. Its description in RNAcentral is "partial 16S ribosomal RNA". Lineage: Eukaryota; Metazoa; Mollusca; Gastropoda; Planorbidae. The record is from RNAcentral.
AGUUUAUAGUUUUUAAUUUUAAAUGAAUCCUGCCCAGUGAAAAUAUUAAAUGGCCGCAGUACCUUGACUGUGCUAAGGUAGCAUAAUCAAUUGGCUUUUAAAUGGAGUCUGGAAUGAAAGGAGUAAUGAAAUAUGUCUGUCUUAAAAUUAUUAUUAUUAACUUAUUGAACAGGUGAAAAUACCUGCCUGUAGAAAAAAGACRAGAAGACCCUUAGAGUUUUUAAAUAUUAAAAAUAAAUUUAAGUUUUUUGCUGGGGCGACAUAUAAACAAACAAACUUUAUUAAUUUAUAUACAACGAUUAUUAUACAAAUAAAUAAACUACCUGAGGGAUAACAGCAUUAUUAUUUAAAUUGAUUGUGACCUCGAUGUUGGACUAGGAACUUUAUGGCUAACCGUCAAAAAAGAUUUGUUCUGUUCGAACAAUUAAAUCCU